CCCGACGGCCCAUGAGAAAAUGAGCUGCGACCGCGUGACCUCAGCACACACAUAGUUCUUUUCUGGAGUAACAUCAUAGCUCGCAAGCAUGGCAGUUGCUCAGUGUUGGGAUGUACAAAUGAUCACAAAAGUCUAUGUUUAGUUCCUUCAUCCGAGCCUGUUUUCUCUGGAAACGCGCCAAACAUUUCGCCGACUUCCUCAACUUGGUCCAAUACAAAGCUGGACUUGCUGAUUGUCUGCGAAAGGAGUCCGGAUCAGUACCAACACUCCUCGGCUCAGCUACAAACCUCGGACAAGCCAGCACAUCAAGUAUUUACAUUCAGCUGCUUCUCUCAAUGGAUGUUGCCUGCCAUACAGACUACCUGGAAACACAUACCAGGAUAGUCGCCACACGACUAUCCUUAAAGACUUUGCUGCCCCAUUUUACAAGCGACGAAUUUAGAGACCGUAGCCCGCAGCGCAGCGGCACCUCAGAGAGUCUGGGUGUGGACGCCCCUGGCUCCUCCCACAUGUCCAGUCACAACAGGGAGCUGCGGAU
This is a long non-coding RNA of Gadus morhua (Atlantic cod), 538 nucleotides long. RefSeq lists it as uncharacterized. The transcript is spliced from 3 exons. The record is from RefSeq and is a predicted model, not a curated record. NCBI's taxonomy places the organism in Eukaryota, Metazoa, Chordata, Actinopteri, Gadiformes, Gadidae.